UACGUAGGGUGCGAGCGUUAAUCGGACUUACUGGGCGUAAAGCGUGCGCAGGCGGUUUUGUAAGCCAGAUGUGAAAUCCCCGGGCUUAACCUGGGAAUGGCAUUUGGGACUGCAAGGCUGGAGUGUGGCAGAGGAGACUGGAAUUCCCGGUGUAGCAGUGAAAUGCGUAGAUAUCGGGAGGAAUACCGAUGGCGAAGGCAGGUCUCUGGGCUGACACUGACGCUCAUGCACGAAAGCGUGGGGAGCAAACAGG
RNAcentral lists this ribosomal RNA (253 nucleotides) under uncultured bacterium. RNAcentral's name for it is "partial 16S ribosomal RNA". It matches the Rfam family "Bacterial small subunit ribosomal RNA", at positions 524 to 776 of the family's 1533-position model. The record is from RNAcentral.